Molecule: ribosomal RNA, 792 nt
Filed under: uncultured bacterium
Lineage: Bacteria
Description: bacterial SSU rRNA
Rfam family: Bacterial small subunit ribosomal RNA
Source: RNAcentral
AGAGUUUGAUCCUGGCUCAGGAUGAACGCUGGCGGUGUGGAUAAGGCAUGCAAGUCGAGCGCUCCGCCAAAAUUUUCGCAAGAAAAUUUAGGCGGACAGCGGCGAACGGGUUAGUAAUACCUUGGUACAUACCCUGAAGUGGGGCAUAGUCCGCCGAAAGGCGGAGUAAUUCCCCAUAGGCUCCGACCUCGGUCGGAGUAAAGACGCAAGUCGCUUCAGGACUGGCCUAGGUCCGAUCAGCUAGUUGGUAGGGUAAAGGCCUACCAAGGCGAUGACCGGUAGGGGGGCUGAGAGGCUGUUCCCCAACAACGCAACUGAGAACGGUGCGUACGCCUACGGGCGGCAGCAGUCGAGAAUAUUCCACAAUGGGCGAAAGCCUGAUGGAGCGACGCCGCGUGCAGGAUGAAGGUCUUCGGAUUGUAGACUGCUUUUCUACAGGAGAAAACCCUGAGUUUAUCGAAGGGUUGAUAGUACUGUAGGAAUAAGGGGCGACAAACUACGUGCCAGCAGUAGCGGUAAUACGUAGGCCCCAAGCGUUAUCCGGAUUUAUUGGGCGUAAAGAGUGCGUAGGAGGUUUGACGCGUUAACUGUUAAAUUUCACCGCUCAACGGUGAAACCGCGGUUAAAACGGUCAGACUAGAGGACGUCAGAGGUCAUUGGAACGUACGGUGUAGGGGUGAAAUCCAUUGAUAUCGUACGGAACACCAAAGGCGAAGGCAAAUGACUGGGGCGUUCCUGACUCUGAGGCACGAAAGCGUGGGGAGCAAAAAGGAUUAGAUACCCUGGUAGUCC